CACAUGAAAUUCAACAUGUCACACUUUUAAAUCCUUCCUUUCUCCUUUUAAAUAACUCAGCUGUGCCUAUAUAAAGUUGAACUGCCAUGCUUUGCUCUGAAUUCCUCGUUAUUGUUGCCCCGCAGCUCCUCUUUUAACUCUGUUUUGAGUUUCGUCUGAAAGCAACUCGUUUUGGUGCUGUCUCUUUAAAGGAGGCACCUCACACCCCACCCUCCUCCAGGUCACACAGCGUCUUCGUAGACCAACAAGCUUCAGUCUUAUCGGUCCUCUUAACUGUAUUUUUAAGGUCUUAUUAAAUUUUUCAGGGAGACUCCAAACCAAACAACAUUGUUUUGCCGAUCUUCUCCAUCUAAAGAAUCGCAAUUUUUCAGACUGCUCUAGUGACUUUUUUUAUUCAAAAGGGACAAGCAAUGGAUCUAGUGAUUUGUUUUCCUGUUGUUUCUGUGACGUUCCUGGCACUGGAGCUGAUCUAAUUACUACUCAGCACACCUGUUCAGCCUCCACCCGGCCUGCUAUCAACCCUCAAUGGUUUCACCUGGUCUCUCCUCCAUAUAAACCCCGCUCUAACCAGCUUCUAGUGCUAGAAUGUCUCAAACCUACGGUAAGAGCCUUCCAGCAGUUGUUUAUGUUACAAACAUGCCUGUAUGCCUUUCUGUUGCCCAACUCUUUGUGCCCAAGCUUGCCUGAUCCCAGUCUGUUCAUGUCUACCUGCUUUACCUCAUCAGGACUUCCCUCCGUCUACUCUGCUCGUCGCAGCUUGACCUGCCUGUUUUCCUGGAAUUAUGUCGGUUUCUGUUUGCCUGCCCCCAUCUGUGAAUAAACCCCUUUCAAGCAUUUGCUCCAUGUUUCGGCUGAAUAUCGGGUUCUGGUCAAGCAAAAUCAUUACAGUUUCAGACUUUGGCAACUAGUAAAAGCACCGAUCUUUCUGGGUUUUUACUGUCUCUACAGCAAACCGUGAGGGCAGCUGUAAGCCCCCUGCUUAUGAGUUCUGACAGGCGAUCAGACUCCGUGUGGUGAAGUCAGGUGUGCAUGGGCUUUUCCUUCUACAGACCUAUUAUUACUUCACCUGAGACACUUUGCACCGAUGUCGGCACAACCAACCUUCUCAACCAGUCCGAAGCAGUAGUGGGAUUUGGUUUCGCCUGCAAAGCUCACAGUGACAAAGUCCCCAGCAGACGGAUCCUUGUCUAAUCAACAUCAUGGACAUCUGAACUCUCAUAGUCAGUGGUGUUUUUAAGUAUAUAGCAUUGUCACUUUCUUAUGAGCAACUGUACACAACCAUUCAUGGCCAGUAUGACUGGAAAAGUGAUACAAGUUUGGUCCAUUUACCAUUUUUUUAUAUAACUGUUAUAUAAACUGUCUGAGCAGUUAUAUACUACUUAAAUGUGUUUACCUGUCAUGCUCUGUACUUUGCAUGAUGAUAGAAAUGGCUUUAAAAUAUG
Molecule: long non-coding RNA, 1442 nt
Organism: Fundulus heteroclitus (mummichog)
Lineage: Eukaryota; Metazoa; Chordata; Actinopteri; Cyprinodontiformes; Fundulidae
Exons: 2
Source: RefSeq, a predicted model, not a curated record